This is a non-coding RNA of Salmo salar (Atlantic salmon), 56 nucleotides long. NCBI's taxonomy places the organism in Eukaryota, Metazoa, Chordata, Actinopteri, Salmoniformes, Salmonidae. The record is from Rfam.
UGUAUGCAUGCAUGACUAAAUCACUUUGGAUAAAAGUGUCUGCUAAAUGGCAUAUA